Molecule: ribosomal RNA, 483 nt
Filed under: uncultured bacterium
Lineage: Bacteria
Description: partial 16S ribosomal RNA
Rfam family: Bacterial small subunit ribosomal RNA
Source: RNAcentral
GACGAACGCUGGCGGCGUGCUUAACACAUGCAAGUCGAACGAUGAAGCCGGAGCUUGCUCCGGUGGAUUAGUGGCGAACGGGUGAGUAACACGUGAGCAAUCUGCCCUUGACUCUGGGAUAACAGCGGGAAACUGUAGCUAAUACCGGAUACGACACCUUGGGGCAUCCCAGGGUGUGGAAAGAAUUUCGGUCAAGGAUGAGCUCGCGGCCUAUCAGCUAGUUGGUGAGGUAAUGGCUCACCAAGGCGACGACGGGUAGCCGGCCUGAGAGGGUGACCGGCCGCACUGGAACUGAGACACGGUCCAGACUCCUACGGGAGGCAGCAGUGGGGAAUAUUGCACAAUGGGCGAAAGCCUGAUGCAGCAACGCCGCGUGAGGGAUGAAGGCCUUCGGGUUGUAAACCUCUUUUAGCAGGGAAGAAGCGAAAGUGACGGUACCUGCAGAAAAAGCACCGGCUAACUACGUGCCAGCCGCCGCGGUAA